RNAcentral lists this long non-coding RNA (263 nucleotides) under Lathyrus oleraceus (garden pea). RNAcentral's name for it is "Pisum sativum (pea) long non-coding RNA (PSAT_LNC011973)". The record is from RNAcentral. Lineage: Eukaryota; Viridiplantae; Streptophyta; Magnoliopsida; Fabales; Fabaceae.
AAAAGUGAAAAGGAGAAAGAAAAAUGAUACCCAGGGCUUAAGAUAGUAGGAGAAUCGAGUGAUGGAUGAAGAAAAAUUUGUUCGCAACACUUGGGAAAAAGAUCACUAACUUGGGUAAAUAGCCAAAGUGAAAGAGCAAAGUUUGUAAAAAAUUCAUAAAGAAGAAAGACAAUGAUGACAAUUGGGAGUUCCUAUAAAAACCAUCAUAUGAUGAGGAGAGAGAAAGAUUUGUCAUCAUUGAGAUGAUUGACACUUCAGUGACU